CUUACGACCAGGGCUACACACGUGCUACAAUGGCGCAUACAAAGAGAAGCGACCUCGCGAGAGCAAGCGGACCUCAUAAAGUGCGUCGUAGUCCGGAUUGGAGUCUGCAACUCGACUCCAUGAAGUCGGAAUCGCUAGUAAUCGUGGAUCAGAAUGCCACGGUGAAUACGUUCCCGGGCCUUGUACACACCGCCCGUCACACCAUGGGAGUGGGUUGCAAAAGAAGUAGGUAGCUUAACCUUCGGGAGGGCGCUUACCACUUUGUGAUUCAUGACUGGGGUGAAGUCGUAACAAGGUAACCGUAGGGGAACCUGCGGUUGGAUCAC
This 326-nucleotide ribosomal RNA is filed under the name Escherichia coli. Its description in RNAcentral is "bacterial SSU rRNA". It matches the Rfam family "Bacterial small subunit ribosomal RNA", at positions 1201 to 1526 of the family's 1533-position model. The record is from RNAcentral. Lineage: Bacteria; Pseudomonadati; Pseudomonadota; Gammaproteobacteria; Enterobacterales; Enterobacteriaceae.